Molecule: ribosomal RNA, 254 nt
Filed under: Escherichia coli
Lineage: Bacteria; Pseudomonadati; Pseudomonadota; Gammaproteobacteria; Enterobacterales; Enterobacteriaceae
Description: partial 23S ribosomal RNA
Rfam family: Bacterial large subunit ribosomal RNA
Source: RNAcentral
GGAGUGGACGCAUCACUGGUGUUCGGGUUGUCAUGCCAAUGGCACUGCCCGGUAGCUAAAUGCGGAAGAGAUAAGUGCUGAAAGCAUCUAAGCACGAAACUUGCCCCGAGAUGAGUUCUCCCUGACCCUUUAAGGGUCCUGAAGGAACGUUGAAGACGACGACGUUGAUAGGCCGGGUGUGUAAGCGCAGCGAUGCGUUGAGCUAACCGGUACUAAUGAACCGUGAGGCUUAACCUUACAACGCCGAAGCUGUU